GGCAACAUGGCCGAGUGGUCUAAGGCGCCAGAAUUAGGUAGCAGGUUUUACUUGCAUUCAUAAAUCUGGUCCGAAAGGGCGCGAGUUCGAACCUCGCUGUUGUCA
Sphaerobolus stellatus SS14 is the source of this 105-nucleotide transfer RNA. It matches the Rfam family "tRNA". Rfam says of the family: Transfer RNA (tRNA) molecules are approximately 80 nucleotides in length. Their secondary structure includes four short double-helical elements and three loops (D, anti-codon, and T loops). Lineage: Eukaryota; Fungi; Basidiomycota; Agaricomycetes; Geastrales; Sphaerobolaceae. The record is from Rfam.